GACGAACGCUGGCGGCGUGCCUAACACAUGCAAGUCGAGCGGGAGUUUCCUUCGGGAAACUUUUAGCGGCGGACGGGUGAGUAACACGUGGGUAACCUGCCUCAUAGAGGGGGAUAGCCUCCCGAAAGGGAGAUUAAUACCGCAUAAUAUCUGAGAAUCGCAUGGUUUUCAGAUUAAAGCAGAAAUGCACUAUGAGAUGGACCCGCGGCGCAUUAGCUAGUUGGUGAGGUAACGGCUCACCAAGGCCACGAUGCGUAGCCGACCUGAGAGGGUGAUCGGCCACAUUGGAACUGAGACACGGUCCAGACUCCUACGGGAGGCUG
Molecule: ribosomal RNA, 323 nt
Filed under: uncultured Bacillota bacterium
Lineage: Bacteria; Bacillati; Bacillota
Description: bacterial SSU rRNA
Rfam family: Bacterial small subunit ribosomal RNA
Source: RNAcentral